UUGGCCCAAAAGUUCGUUCGGAU
RNAcentral lists this microRNA (23 nucleotides) under Bos taurus (domestic cattle). RNAcentral's name for it is "bta-miR-2284r". The record is from miRBase by way of RNAcentral. Lineage: Eukaryota; Metazoa; Chordata; Mammalia; Artiodactyla; Bovidae.